RNAcentral lists this unclassified non-coding RNA (552 nucleotides) under Trichoderma atroviride. RNAcentral describes it as "partial contains 18S rRNA, ITS1, 5.8S rRNA, ITS2 and 28S RNA". The stretch from base 191 to 344 matches the Rfam family "5.8S ribosomal RNA". The record is from RNAcentral. Lineage: Eukaryota; Fungi; Ascomycota; Sordariomycetes; Hypocreales; Hypocreaceae.
CAUUACCGAGUUUACAACUCCCAAACCCAAUGUGAACCAUACCAAACUGUUGCCUCGGCGGGGUCACGCCCCGGGUGCGUCGCAGCCCCGGAACCAGGCGCCCGCCGGAGGGACCAACCAAACUCUUUUCUGUAGUCCCCUCGCGGACGUUAUUUCUUACAGCUCUGAGCAAAAAUUCAAAAUGAAUCAAAACUUUCAACAACGGAUCUCUUGGUUCUGGCAUCGAUGAAGAACGCAGCGAAAUGCGAUAAGUAAUGUGAAUUGCAGAAUUCAGUGAAUCAUCGAAUCUUUGAACGCACAUUGCGCCCGCCAGUAUUCUGGCGGGCAUGCCUGUCCGAGCGUCAUUUCAACCCUCGAACCCCUCCGGGGGGUCGGCGUUGGGGACCUCGGGAGCCCCUAAGACGGGAUCCCGGCCCCGAAAUACAGUGGCGGUCUCGCCGCAGCCUCUCCUGCGCAGUAGUUUGCACAACUCGCACCGGGAGCGCGGCGCGUCCACGUCCGUAAAACACCCAACUUCUGAAAUGUUGACCUCGGAUCAGGUAGGAAUACCCG